RNAcentral lists this ribosomal RNA (271 nucleotides) under uncultured bacterium. RNAcentral's name for it is "partial 16S ribosomal RNA". It matches the Rfam family "Bacterial small subunit ribosomal RNA", at positions 333 to 620 of the family's 1533-position model. The record is from RNAcentral.
UUUGCCCUACGGGGGGCAGCAGUCGGGAAUAUUGCGCAAUGGAGGAAACUCUGACGCAGUGACGCCGCGUAUAGGAAGAAGGUUUUCGGAUUGUAAACUAUUGUCGUUAGGGAAGAUACAAGACAGUACCUAAGGAGGAAGCCCCGGCUAACUCUGUGCCAGCAGCCGCGGUAAUACAUAGGGGGCAGGCGUUAUCCGGAUUUAUUGGGUGUAAAGGGUGCGUAGACGGAGAAACAAGUUGGUUGUGAAAUCCCUCGGCACAACUGAGGAA